This 1083-nucleotide long non-coding RNA is filed under the name Equus caballus (horse). Its description in RNAcentral is "lncRNA (ENSECAG00000036527.2)". Lineage: Eukaryota; Metazoa; Chordata; Mammalia; Perissodactyla; Equidae. The record is from RNAcentral.
CUGAUGACAAUCCAACACUUUAUCCUAAACGCCCCCACUGACUCGGCUCAGCCCACAGGAUGGAUCACGCCUGAAACAGAUGUCCUGGCUUCCCCGGGCCAAGGAAUCUCAGCCCCUCCCAGUAGAUGAGACACUUCAUCCCUUGGACACCAGAAGCAUCUUCCGGAUUUCAUCAGGCAAGGUCAUCUGGGCAGUUCUGCUCAUCUGGACCAGAUGUGGCUGAUCUCAGUUGGACUUGCUCAUGAGGCUGUGGUCAGCUGGCAGGUGGACUGGCGGCUGGCUGUCUAGGAAUGGCCUUAGCCACAUGUCUGCUGGUUGGCUGGAUACUGGCCUGGGUGAGGGCAAUGAGGCCCCAUGUCUCUUCUCUUCCAGUAUGCUUCCAGCCUGGAUUUCUCACACAGCAGAGGAAGGGUUUCAAGAAGGAGAGCAAAUGGUGCAUAUUGUCACUUCUUCUGCAUUCCGUUGGCCAAUGCAAGUCACAAGUGGGAAAAGAGGUGCCAUCUCUGGAUGGAUGAAGCAGCAAAGUCGCAUUGCGAAGGGCAAAGGAGACAUUUGGAGAAUUUUAUUCUGUCUUACCAGAAUACGCAAGAAUGCCCUGAAAGACAGAAAUAAGAGCUUCAUUAGAAUCUCCUUAACAACCAAAAGAGAUGGAGGAAGUCAACAACUGAGGGUGAGGAGAGCUCUCUGCUGACAAGGCCACGUAUCCAGGUCCUUCCUGCUCCAUGGCAAGCACAGGCUGGAUGGAAGGCUUCCGUGGAUGCUUUGGGAGCGAAGUUGCCUGGAGAACCCACAAACUCAGGAGCUAGCAACAAAUUCCAGGACUUUCUAUAACCCAUUAAACACACUUGAAAGUGAUUAUCCUGAGCAGUAAUUGAGAACAGCUGAGACUUAGAAUGCUGGUUCAUAACUUAUCUUCGAUGGGUGUUUCUCAAAAUUUUUCUAUAUAAGAAUCAUCCAGCUAAGUAUAAUAGUUCGAAAUCUUAUCAAAUUGUGUACUUAGUUGCUUUAACAAAGUUGUUUUGGGUUUUUUUCGUUGAAAAAAAAUCAGAUCUCCGGGCUGGCCCCGUGGCCGAGUGGUUAAGU